This 383-nucleotide ribosomal RNA is filed under the name uncultured bacterium. Its description in RNAcentral is "bacterial SSU rRNA". It matches the Rfam family "Bacterial small subunit ribosomal RNA", at positions 28 to 410 of the family's 1533-position model. The record is from RNAcentral.
GAUGAACGCUGGCGGCGUGCCUAACACAUUCAAGUCGAACGGUGACGGGGGCUUCGGUCCCCUGAUCAGUGGCGGACGGGUGAGUAACGCGUGAGCAACCUGCCUUUCAGUGGGGGAUAACACAGGGAAACUUGUGCUAAUACCGCAUGACACAUUUUUAGGGCAUCCUUGAAAUGUCAAAGAUUUAUUGCUGAAAGAUGGGCUCGCGUCCGAUUAGAUAGUUGGUGAGGUAACGGCCCACCAAGGCGACGAUCAGUAGCCGGUCUGAGAGGAUGAACGGCCACAUUGGGACUGAGAUACGGCCCAGACUCCUACGGGAGGCAGCAGUGGGGAAUAUUGGGCAAUGGGCGAAAGCCUGACCCAGCAACGCCGCGUGAAGGAAG